This 380-nucleotide ribosomal RNA is filed under the name uncultured marine Chaetocerotaceae. RNAcentral describes it as "SSU rRNA". It matches the Rfam family "Eukaryotic small subunit ribosomal RNA", at positions 587 to 972 of the family's 1831-position model. The record is from RNAcentral. Lineage: Eukaryota; Bacillariophyta; Thalassiosirophyceae; Chaetocerotales; Chaetocerotaceae.
AGCUCCAAUAGCGUAUAUUUUAGUUGUUGCAGUUAAAAAGCUCGUAGCCGUAUUUCUGGUGGGAGAAUGCAGUCCGACUUUAUGUCGGUACUCGCAUCCUCCGGCCAUCCUUGGGUCUAGCCAGUUUGGCAUUAAGUUGUCGAGCUGGGGAUGCCCAUCGUUUACUGUGAAAAAAUUAGAGUGUUCAAAGCAGACUUAUGUCGUUGAAUAUAUUAGCAUGGAAUAAUAAAAUAGGACAUCAGUGCUAGUUUGGUGGUUUGCGCACCGAUGUAAUGAUAAAUAGGAACAGUUGUGGCUAUUCGUAUUCAUUUGUAAGAGGUGAAAUUCUUAGAUUAAAGGAAGACGAACUACUGCGAAAGCAUUUAGCAGGGAUGUUUUCA